This 494-nucleotide ribosomal RNA is filed under the name uncultured bacterium. RNAcentral's name for it is "partial 16S ribosomal RNA". It matches the Rfam family "Bacterial small subunit ribosomal RNA", at positions 28 to 507 of the family's 1533-position model. The record is from RNAcentral.
GACGAGCGCUGGCGGCGUGCUUAACACAUGCAAGUCGAACGGUGAAGCGCCUUCCUUUUUGGUGGGUGUGGAUGAGUGGCGAACGGGUGAGUAACACGUGAGUAACCUGCCCCCUUCUUCUGGAUAACCGCAUGAAAGUGUGGCUAAUACGGGAUAUUCUGGGUCUGUCGCAUGAUGGGUCUGGGAAAGAUCUUGUUUCGGUGGGGGAUGGGCUCGCGGCCUAUCAGCUUGUUGGUGGGGUGAUGGCCUACCAAGGCGGUGACGGGUAGCCGGCCUGAGAGGGUGGACGGGCACACUGGGACGGAGGCACGGCCCAGACUCCUACGGGAGGCAGCAGUGGGGAAUAUGGCACAAUGGGCGCAAGCCUGAUGCAGCGACGCCGCGUGAGGGAUGGAGGCCUUCGGGUUGUGAACCUCUUUCGCCAGUGAAGCAGGCCUGCCUCGUUUGUGGGUGGGUUGACGGUAGCUGGAUAAGAAGCGCCGGCUAACUACGUG